Small nucleolar RNA from Peromyscus maniculatus bairdii (prairie deer mouse), 135 nucleotides. Its record names the gene SNORA70. It matches the Rfam family "Small nucleolar RNA SNORA70". From Rfam's summary of the family: snoRNA U70 seems to be exclusive to mammals and is a member of the H/ACA class of snoRNA which contain H (ANANNA) and ACA box motifs. H/ACA box snoRNAs are involved in the conversion of uridines to pseudouridines (5-ribosyluracil) a constituent of structural RNAs (transfer, ribosomal, small nuclear, and small nucleolar). The record is from Ensembl. Lineage: Eukaryota; Metazoa; Chordata; Mammalia; Rodentia; Cricetidae.
UUGCAACCAACUAAGCCAACCAAGUCCCUUUCCCCAUGGGGGUCUGGUAUGUAAUUGUUGCAAACAGCAGCCUUGGUGGUGGUGUAUGUAGCCUGUUGCCUGUGUGGGUUGCCCUAAGGGACCUUGGAGAUGGCU